Molecule: ribosomal RNA, 253 nt
Filed under: uncultured bacterium
Lineage: Bacteria
Description: partial 16S ribosomal RNA
Rfam family: Bacterial small subunit ribosomal RNA
Source: RNAcentral
UACAGAGGGUGCAAGCGUUGCUCGGAAUUAUUGGGCGUAAAGGGUAGGUAGGUGGUCUCAUUUGUCUAGGGUGAAAGCCUGGGGCUUAACCCCAGAAGUGCCCUAGAAACGGUGAGACUGGAGUACUGGAGAGGGUCGUGGAAUUCCCGGUGUAGCGGUGAAAUGCGUAGAGAUCGGGAGGAACACCAGAGGCGAAGGCGGCGACCUGGACAGUUACUGACACUCAACUACGAAAGCGUGGGGAGCAAACAGG